AUUGAACGCUGGCGGCAUGCUUUACACAUGCAAGUCGAACGGCAGCACGGGCUUCGGCUGGUGGCGAGUGGCGAACGGGUGAGUAAUAUAUCGGAACGUACCCAGAAGUGGGGGAUAACGUAGCGAAAGUUACGCUAAUACCGCAUACGAUCUAUGGAUGAAAGCAGGGGACCGCAAGGCCUUGUGCUCCUGGAGCGGCCGAUAUCUGAUUGGCUAGUUGGUGAGGUAAAGGCUCACCAAGGCGACGAUCAGUAGCUGGUCUGAGAGGACGACCAGCCACACUGGAACUGAGACACGGUCCAGACUCCUACGGGAGGCAGCAGUGGGGAAUUUUGGACAAUGGGCGCAAGCCUGAUCCAGCAAUGCCGCGUGAGUGAAGAAGGCCUUCGGGUUGUAAAGCUCUUUUGUCAGGGAAGAAACGGUAGAGGCUAAUAUCCUUUGCUAAUGACGGUACCUGAAGAAUAAGCACCGGCUAACUACGUG
RNAcentral lists this ribosomal RNA (483 nucleotides) under uncultured bacterium. Its description in RNAcentral is "partial 16S ribosomal RNA". It matches the Rfam family "Bacterial small subunit ribosomal RNA", at positions 30 to 507 of the family's 1533-position model. The record is from RNAcentral.